Molecule: ribosomal RNA, 990 nt
Filed under: uncultured bacterium
Lineage: Bacteria
Description: bacterial SSU rRNA
Rfam family: Bacterial small subunit ribosomal RNA
Source: RNAcentral
UGGGGAAUAUUGCACAAUGGGGGAAACCCUGAUGCAGCGACGCCGCGUGAAGGAUGAAGUAUUUCGGUAUGUAAACUUCUAUCAGCAGGGAAGAAAAUGACGGUACCUGACUAAGAAGCCCCGGCUAACUACGUGCCAGCAGCCGCGGUAAUACGUAGGUGGCGAGCGUUAUCCGGAAUUAUUGGGCGUAAAGGGUGCGCAGGCGGUUUGAAAAGUUUAAGGUGAAAGCGUGGGGCUUAACCCCAUACAGCCUUAGAAACUGUCAGACUAGAGUACAGGAGAGGGCAAUGGAAUUCCAUGUGUAGCGGUAAAAUGCGUAGAUAUAUGGAGGAACACCAGUGGCGAAGGCGGUUGCCUGGCCUGUAACUGACGCUCAUGCACGAAAGCGUGGGGAGCAAAUAGGAUUAGAUACCCUAGUAGUCCACGCCGUAAACGAUGAGAACUAAGUGUUGGGGAAACUCAGUGCUGCAGUUAACGCAAUAAGUUCUCCGCCUGGGGAGUAUGCACGCAAGUGUGAAACUCAAAGGAAUUGACGGGGGCCCGCACAAGCGGUGGAGUAUGUGGUUUAAUUCGACGCAACGCGAAGAACCUUACCAGGUCUUGACAUACCAGGCAAAGCUAUAGAGAUAUAGUGGAGGUUAUCCUGGAUACAGGUGGUGCAUGGUUGUCGUCAGCUCGUGUCGUGAGAUGUUGGGUUAAGUCCCGCAACGAGCGCAACCCUUAUCUUUAGUAGCCAGCGGUUCGGCCGGGCACUCUAGAGAGACUGCCAGGGAUAACCUGGAGGAAGGCGGGGAUGACGUCAAAUCAUCAUGCCCCUUAUGACUUGGGCUACACACGUGCUACAAUGGCGUAAACAAAGGGAAGCAAAGCUGUGAAGCCGAGCAAAUCUCAAAAAUAACGUCUCAGUUCGGACUGUAGUCUGCAACCCGACUACACGAAGCUGGAAUCGCUAGUAAUCGCAGAUCAGAAUGCUGCGGUGAAUACGUUCCC